RNAcentral lists this ribosomal RNA (439 nucleotides) under uncultured bacterium. RNAcentral's name for it is "partial 16S ribosomal RNA". It matches the Rfam family "Bacterial small subunit ribosomal RNA", at positions 338 to 795 of the family's 1533-position model. The record is from RNAcentral.
CCUACGGGGGGCAGCAGUGGGGAAUAUUGCACAAUGGGCGAAAGCCUGAUGCAGCAACGCCGCGUGAGCGAAGAAGGACUUCGGGUCGUAAAGCUCUGUCCUCAAGGAAGAUAAUGACGGUACGUGAGGAGGAAGCCCCGGCUAACUACGUGCCAGCAGCCGCGGUAAUAGGUAGGGGGCUGGCGUUAUCCGGAAUUACUGGGCGAAAAGGGUGCGUAGGUGGUUUCUUAAGUCAGAGGUGAAAGGCUACGGCUAAACCGUAGUAAGCCUUUGAAACUGGGAAACUUGAGUGCAGGAGAGGAGAGUGGAAUUCGUAGUGUAGCGGUGAAAUGCGUAGAUAUUAGGAGGAACACCAGUUGCGAAGGCGGCUCUCUGGACUGUAACUGACACUGAGGCACGAAAGCGUGGGGAGCAAACAGGAUUAGAUACCCCUGUAGUC